UCCAAGAUCCAUUUCAUCCAACCUUUGCUUUCUGACAAUACCCUGGUAGAUGUUUCUGGAAAAUGCACGCCCAGGAUAAAAAGGCACUAAUCCACUCCUGCUGUGGAUUGACCCCCCCAAUGCCGAGGGUCCAAUGACACAUUGUACACCAUGGAUAGCUCCUGCAUCUUACACCAUUUCCUCUCCCGACACACCCCUCCUUCAAAGCCCAAGCCAUCAGCCUUGAAAAUAAAGCUUGCAUUUCAAUCUAACUAGCCACAUGCACAGCCAAGAAAGCUUGUUCUAGAAGAAAUAGAUUUUUAAAAAUAUACUUAAGGGUACUCUGCUUCUAAUGACAUGCUAAGUGCACCCACCUAGUUUAUUCCAAGAUACUCCAACCCACCACGGAGGGUCCAGCAAAAUCCUCACACUUCCCAGCUAACAAAGAAGGGGAACUAAAUUGAGCAGAGGGUUGGACUUGAUGGCCCCUUCCAAUUUCAUUAUUCUAUAAUUCUAAUUCCACCAUUCCUUCAAAAAGAUACUGGCCUGCUUCAGCUGUAAUGCCCUCUGUCCAAAAAAUGUUAAUUUACCAAAUGAAGGAGAAUCAUAGCCAUGCACUGCCUUCUUCCCUCCCCUCGUUCUUCUUUCCCUACACAUACUUUAAUGCAAUAUUUCUGAGCUUGUUGAUCACCCCACAAGCUAAGAGGAAGCAAAGUCCAAGAAAACUAUUACCCUUUGACUCAUGUCUAUAACUUAGUCUCUUUUUUUUACAGACUCUGACGUGAUGGGGCAGCAAACCUGCCCCAUAUUUAACGGCAGCUCUCUGAAGCACCGAAGACUCACCCCCAAAGAUUUUCAGCACCCCAAGAAGCUCCUUUGGUGCCCAGAUGAAAACUGGACCAAAUUCCUCACCUAUGUCUUCCUAAACGACAUCAACACCACUAACAUUUCUCCUAGCACUUCUUGAAGAACAAGGCAGAGUUUACCUCUACUCUAGGAGUUCAACUGCAGCCCGUACAGAAAGCGAUCUUCAUCCUUUCCAACAUUUGCUAGUGAACGAGAAACUUGUGUUCCUUUUGCUCGUGAACUCUCCCUGCGUUCCUUCGACCAACCCGAUCCCCCACCCUGCUCCUCGCGCCACGACCGCCCCAUU
Molecule: long non-coding RNA, 1132 nt
Filed under: Pogona vitticeps (central bearded dragon)
Lineage: Eukaryota; Metazoa; Chordata; Lepidosauria; Squamata; Agamidae
Description: lncRNA (ENSPVIG00000013263.1)
Source: RNAcentral